GACAGAGGGUGCAAACGUUGUUCGGAAUUACUGGGCGUAAAGCGUGUGUAGGCGGUCAAGUAAGUCGGAUGUGAAAGCCCCGGGCUCAACCCGGGAAGUGCACUCGAAACUGCAUGACUUGAGUAUCGGAGAGGUUGGUGGAAUUCUCGGUGUAGAGGUGAAAUUCGUAGAUAUCGAGAGGAACACCGGUGGCGAAGGCGGCCAACUGGACGAAUACUGACGCUGAGACACGAAAGCGUGGGGAGCAAACGGG
This 253-nucleotide ribosomal RNA is filed under the name uncultured bacterium. RNAcentral's name for it is "partial 16S ribosomal RNA". It matches the Rfam family "Bacterial small subunit ribosomal RNA", at positions 524 to 776 of the family's 1533-position model. The record is from RNAcentral.